AACUUUAGAAAUACCAAACCUUAAUGAUUGAACUCAUAAAAUUGAGCAAGAAGAUUCUAACUCAAUAAGGCAACACACCCAUGAAUUUUACAUAAACCUGUCAAGCCCCUUAAAUAUCAAAUCCUAGCACACUGGUCAAACACAGAGGCGUAUCUAGGAUUUGAAAUUUACGACUUCUGAAUUUACAAUAACUGGAUUCUAAAUUGAAAAUAUGUACAUAUUCGGUGAAUCUUAUCGAACAAAUAUACAAGAUUUAGGACAAACAUACGACUUGGUUCAUCCAAACCAGUAAGUCACCUCCUAGCUCCGCCCCUGGUCAAGCACACUGUUAAAGCAAAUACGAUACUUCUUUACUUCUCUCUCAGCUAAGACAUGAUUUUGUAACCUUGUUCACCGAGAUGGCGAAGUUGGUCACAAGCAGCCAAUAGGAGCAAAUCGUUUCCCACAUUUGAGUCUGCUACAUGGAGAAAUUAAUCACCCUCUGGCUUGUUCAAAGUGCAGCGUAGUUUCUUUAAUUUCUCCACGAUCGUAGCCAUGGUGUCCCUGGAAGAUGGCGGUGACUUUAAGCAUUUCAUUGCUAAUGUUAGAAUCACCUCUGCGUCAUCCCAGUUAUAAUUCAGAUUUUGAUCGACGAGUUCCAUUAAAGUUCCAUUCUCAUUCUUUAUUUGUGCCUAUAGUAGUUGAUAAAAUUAACCAAUGACUUUGUCGAGUUUCCUAAAUUAAUGUACACAACUAUUGCAGCUAGUUGAGUUUUACUCACCUCAUCCACGAGGUAUCCAGUUUGAGCACCUACCCUCAGGGUCUUUAUUUUCCUUCCGCUGAAAAGUACAAGCAUGACAACUCCAAAGCUAUACACAUCUGCGCUAGCUUCUAAGGGGCGAUCAUUAACUUCUGGCGCUGUGUAUGACCUGCAAAAAUCUUCCAUUAGUGAGAAAUGCAAUUGUGGAAGCCAAUGUAUAAGGUAUUACUCCCACCGUUUAAUUUGUUUGUCUGGGCUUGUGGUCUUAAACAUGCCAUGCGGAAAGUUAGAUUUAAAGAGUUGUCAAAAAACGAGAGACAUUCUUUUGAAACGGACUAAAAAGAAAAGUAAGACAAACAAAUUGAAACAGCGGGCCGGGAGUACUAAUUUGUCUCUAAAACAUAAUUUGUUUGGGUGUUUACUUACAUUGUUCCUUCUGACUUUUGCUUGUGAUAAAGCUUUGCGAAUCCAAAAUCGUAUAUCCUUGGAUUUAAAUCGUUGUCAAGAAAAAUGUUUUCUGGGUUAAUAUCUCCAUGUAUAAUUUCCUGUUUGGACACCUUGUGAAGAAAAGAUAAACCUUCUGCUAGACCAAGACAUAUUUUACAUCUCGUUUGCCAAUCUAGUCUUUUUCUAAGUUCUUCGUCUGAACCUGUAAGUAAACAAAGCUCAAGUUUUAUUUGUACAACUACGGAGGCUUAACAAAGAGAUUUUUCAUAAACGGAAGACGUUACCAAAUAAUGCAUCUUCAAGAGACGUAGUUCCAAUGAACUCAUAGAUAAGCAGAAGUUGGUUCUUUCCUGCACAGCAUCCCAUUAGAGUUACAAGAUUUGGACGUUUUAUGCCAGCAAUUGCACGCCUUUUUUCUGCAAAUUCGUGCAUUCCUUCUUUUGGUGCCGAAAGUUUUUUAACUGCGACGACAAGCCCAUUCAAAAGAGUGCCCUGGAUGUUGGUUAAGUGUUUCAGAUGAUGAACUUAUGAAUCAGAAAAACAAACGAAUUACUCCCUCCGUUUCAAUUUGUUAGUUUAAUUUUCCUUUUCUUAGUCCACUUAAAAAAAGAACUCUUUGAUUCUAACUUUCCACAUGGCGUGUUUAAGACCACCAGAUUGAAGGACAUUUUGGUAUAUUCAAUAUAUCUUUAGUGUAAAACCACAAUUACAAAAAUCUUCUUUAUUUUCUUAAACUCCAUAUCAAGUCAAAACCAAACAAACAAAUUGAAACGGCGUGAGUAUAUAUCUAGGUUAGAGGUCAUCCAGCUAGCAAAGGGAGAAAACACAAUACUAGUACUGCAACUUUUGUCAUGAGAUAAUAUCUUUUCCGAAAGAAAAUGAAGAUAUGAAGGCGGAAAAAUGCCCUUGAGUGAUAAAACAAAAUUCUUUUAACUGACGAAAACUGUAAAAGAUAAAUCACAAAGAACACAAAAUUCAUAACCUAUAAUUAGUUAAAAUUCUAACCUACCUUAUAAAUUGUCCCAAAACCUCCCUCGCCAAGCCGGUUCUCGAUAUCAAAAUUCUUUGUGGAAGCUUUAAUUUCCCGGUAGUAGUAAAGUCCUCCAGGGUACAAUUCAACAAGUUCUAGCUCCAUAUCAACACAUUAGAAAAGAAACAUCAACAGAGUGGAAAAGAGAGACAGUAAAGAAGCUUACUACAAGUUACAAGACGUAUGAUUCAAAUGAUGGUAAUUUAAUCCGAUAACUAUAAGAAAUGUAUCUUGGGCUUAACCCGAAAAAAAUCUAGCUAAAAUCAUACCGACUUAACUCAAUAGCUAACCUCAUUUGAGGAGACCGAUGCCGCAUUCCACAAGUCCACGGAACCACAACCAAUGUUGGGAAACAUAACAUCCCUCCAGCCUACGCCCAAGCUUACCAACUGGAGCGUAGACAACAAAAUAUGGGGGUCCAACAUUGAGUAUUUGACAUUUUUAAUUUAGUAAAAAAUCUCAUUAGUUCCUCACUAACUAUCUUUUUCAUGCCAAACAUAUUUAGCCAGCAGAUGGAAAAAAUUGAAACUUGAAAAAAAAAAGAGUUUUUGACGUUGUGUUGGAAAAUAAUUUUUCCAAGCGGAGGUGAAAUUUCACCCCAAAAUUGAUCUGAGCAAGUUUUUGAAACUUGAAAAUGGACCAAAUUUAAAUUCACGAACAACAUUUUCAAAUUAUUAUUUUUUUUUUUAAAAAAAAAAUGUACUCCCAAAAACUAUGGCCAAACAGGAGCUUAAUACCUUGAAAUUCAGAUGUUUCCAUCAAAGAAAAUAUUUUCCACCAAAGGCCAAAAAAACAUAUUAAAAACUUUUAAUUUACCAAAGAUCACCAAAAUAUUAUCCUCAUCAUUUUUCCAAUUCCAUAAGGUCGCACAACCACUUUACAUAACUAGCAAGCAGGCAGAUUCGAGAUUUAAAUUUUGCAGUAACGACUUCAAGAGCUAGUAACUGGACUCUAAAUUUAAAAUUUGUACAUAUUCAGUGAAUCUCAUAACACAAAUACAAGAUUAAGGACAAAAAUACUACUUAAAGGGCAGCCCAGUGCAUUAAAGCUACCGCUAUUCGCGGUGUCCGGGGAAGGGCCCCACCACAAGGGUAUAUCGUACGCAACCUUACCUUGCAUUUCUGCAAGAGGCUGUUUCCAAGGCUUGAACCCAUGCCCUCCUGGUCACAUGACAGCAACUUUACCAGUUACUCCAAGGCUCCGUGCUAGAUCAAGCACAUUGUUAAAUGAAAAUAUGAUAAUCCAAUACUACAGUAUGGUACAUGGAGAACUCACCCGCAUUGGUCAAAAUGGUCUGGAUUGAGUGUCCCUUCUUUAAUUUCUUCACGAUUGCAGACAUGGUUGGUCUGUAUGGCGGUGAAUCUAUGCAAUGCAUUACUAAUCGUAGAAUCAUCUCCGCUUCUUCCCAGUCAUAACUCAGCUUAGGAUCGACUAGUUCCAUUAGAGUUCCCCUCCGAUCCAUUUUUUCGGCCUACAGUAGUCGAUAAGAUUAACCAAUAACUUUGUCUAGUUUCCUCAAUUGAUGUACAUAACUGUUGCAGGUAGUUGAGUUUUACUCACCUCAUCCACGAGGUAUAUAGUUUCACCACCUGCCCUCGGGGUCUUGAUUUUCCUUCCACUGAAAAGUAUAAGCAUGACAACUCCAAAGCUAUACACAUCCGUUCUAGCUUCUAAGGGGCGAAAUGUAACUUCUGGCGCUGUGUAUAACCUGCUAAAGGCUUCCAAUAGUGAGAAGUGCAACUGUGAUAGCCAAUGUAUACAAAGUUCUAACAAUUUGAAAGCAAAAUCAGUUUUACUCCCUCUGUUUCAAUUUGUCUGUCUGGUUCUGACUUGACAUGGAGUUUAAAAAAUAAUGAAGACUUUUAUAUCUUGUGGUCUUAAACAUGUCUCGUGGAAAGUUUGGAUAAAAGAGUUGUGAAGAACAGACAAGAUGCAUUCUUUUACUAAUAUGUCUCUGGAACAUAAUCUGCUGGGGCAUUUCCUUACAUUGAUCCUUCUGAUUUUUGCUUGUGAUAGAGCUUCGCAAAUCCGAAACCAUGUAUCUUCGGAUUCAGAUCAUCAUCAAGAAUAAUGUUUGCUGGUUUAAUGUCCCCGUGUAUAGUUUCCUGUUUGGAGCCCUCGUGAAGAAAAGCUAAACCUUCUGCUAGACCAAGACAUAUUCUAUAUCUUGUUGGCCAAUCGAGUCUUGCUCUAAGUUCAUCGUCUGAACCUGUACGUAAUCAAAGCUGUAAGUUCUUUACUACAAGUGUGGAGGCUUAACGAAGAAAUCAUUCAUAAAUGGAAGAUGUUACCAAAUAAGGCAUCUUCAAGAGACGUAGUUCCAAUGAACUCAUAGAUAAGCAGAAGUUGGUUCUUUCCUGCACAGCAUCCCAUUAGUGUUAAAAGAUUUGGAUGUUUUAUGCCAGCAAUUGCACGACUCUUUUCCGCAAACUCCCACAUUCCUUCUUUUGUCGCCGAAAGCUUUUUAACUGUGAUGGCAGUCCCAUUCGAAAGAGUGCCCUGAACAUUGGUUAAGUGUUUCAGAUGAUGAAAUUGUCUAUUUGAAAACCAAAAUAAGUACUCCCUCUGUUUCAAUUUGUUUGAAGACUCACGAGAAUGAAGGGCAUUUCGGUACAUUCGAUAUAUCAUUGGUUCAAGACCCCACGGGUCAAAAGUCUUUUCUAUUUUCUUAACGUUCGAGCCAAAUCAAUACCAGAAAAAACAAAUUGAAAUGGGGGGAGUAUAUAUCUAGGUCGGAGGUCACCCAGCAAGCAAAAGAAAAAAGGUUGUGCACAGAAGGGAGCGGCGUCCCGACAACACAAUACUAAUACUGCAACUAUUUUCAUGAGAGAGUAUCUUCUCCAAAAGAAAAUGAAGAAUACGAAGACAGAAAAUGAACAAAAUUUAUUUAACUGAAGAUAUCUGUAAAAGAUAUAUCGAAAAACAUCGUAACCUAUAAUGAGUUAAGAUUCUAGCUAACCUUAUAGACAGUCCCAAAACCUCCCUCGCCAAUCCGGUUCGCAACAUGAAAAUUAUUUGUGGCAGCUUUAAUUUUCCGGUAGUUGUAAAGCCCUCCAGGGUACAAUUGAACGGGUUCUAGCUCUAUAUUUACACAUUAGUAAAUAUAUAUCAGAGUAAUUUGAAACGUAAAUUAAGUAAACAAGCUUACAACAAAUAAAAAAACCUAUGAUUCAAAUGAUGGCCGGUGACUAUAACCGAUAACUACAAGAAAUGGAUCUUACGCUUAACUCAACCCUAAAAGCUAAUGACGAAUAUGGAACAAUUUAACUUUCAGCCAACCUAAACCCAAGCUUAUACACACACACACACACACACACACACACACAUAGUAGUCUAUAAUACGUGUGUUGCACGUGUAUUUAAUGUUAAAUAAGAAAGAUGCAUGUAUGCAAAGAACAAACUCAUUAUAUUCGAAUUAAUAAAUAUACGACUUUAAAAAUAUAUAUAUGUCCAGACCUCUCUUUAAUAACCUGUCAUUAUAAUGGUAUUUAUCCAAAUAGACCUAAGAAUUGUAUUGUACGUUGAAUUUUUACUUCGUUCAUGUAUACUUUUGAAGAAACGCUUAUCAACUCGUUCCUAUUGUGAAUACUUUUGAAGAAACGUUCCCUCGUUCUUUCUUUAUCUCUUGAUGUGUCUCUUUAUUGCAUUGUUAUAAGGAGAUGUCAAUGUAUUUCACAUGAAAAGAAUAAUAAUGAAUAGCUAUAAUAAUUUAUAUCAUUCAAAAUUAAAAAUUGUCACACGAAAUUAAUCACCUUUCAAAGUUCGGAUCAUCAACUGUCUGUAUAUAUUAUAAUCAUCAUCCAUCUUCAGGAUACCAACAAAAUCAAUGCACCUCAAAGUAAAUUAAAUAUUACAAAAACAUUUUCUGAAGUGAAGAAUGAUCUAAGACGAAAAGGAAAUAAUUUUGUUUUCUAUGUUCAUCGAAGAUGUUAUUGUAUUAUUGUAGAAGGAUUGUCAAUUUAUAGAAGUCCAAAAGCUUUUCAAAUUAUCUAAAUAUGGUAAAUUUAUACUCCCUCACCACCAUAAAUAACUACCAAUAUUAGAAGAGUAAGUAUUCCAACAAUAAUAAAUUACCACAAAUAGAUACUGUACAUUUUUUAUAGUUUUUUUUUUUUAGACUUAGGCUUCAUUGUCUUAUUUUUUUAAAAGAAAUUAAAAAAUCAUAUACACAUGUGAUUUCUAAAACUUAAAGAGUUUAGUAGUUUUUUUCUCUAAUUUCUCUAACCGUAAUAUUUGUAUAAUAUCAUAUAUUUUAGUGCUCUUAAUUUUUUCUUUCCAUAUAUAUUUUAGGAUUCAAUAUUACAGUUAAUAUUAUUAAAAUAAUUAACUAAUAAUUUGAGAAAAUAGUGAAAAGACAAUUUCGUCUAUUGUGGAGUGUUUUAAUGAAGGUCAAAAAGUUCAAAUCACAUAUAUAUAUAUAUAUAUAAAAUCAGUGUUACCUUCGCGACGUAAUUUGUCUAUAUUUGUUACAUUUAUAAUCGAUCUGUCCAUAUUCAGGAUUUGAAUUUUACAGUAAUGACUUCAAGCGCUAAUAACUGGACUCUAAAUUUAAAAUUUGUACAUAUUUAGUGAAUUUUACGAUACAAAUCCAAGAUUUAUGACAGACAAACUAUUGGGUUCUACUGAACUCGUAGGUUGCCUUCUAGCUCCGCCCCAGGUCAAGCACAUUGUUAAAGCAAAUAUGAUACUCCUAUAGUAGAAUAUGCUACAUGGAGAACUCACCCUCUGGCGUAGGCGCAUUGAUCAAAAGGGUUUGGAUUGAGCAUUCACCCUCUGGUCUAGCCGCAUUGAUCAAAAUGGUCUCGAUUGAGCAUUCUUUCUUUAAAAUCUUCACGAUUGCAGACAUGGUUGGUCUGAAUGACGGUGAAUCUAUGCAAUGCAUUGCUAAUCGUAGAAUCAUCUCCGCUUCUUCCCGGUCAUAACUCAGCUUGUGAUCGACUAGCUCCAUUAGAGUUCCCCUCCGAUCCAUUAUUUGUGCCUACAGUAGUCGAUAAGAUUAACCAAUAACUUUGUCUAGUUUCCUAAAUUGAUGUACAUAACUGUUGCAGGUAGUUGAGUUUUACUCACCUCAUCCACGAGGUAUAUAGUUUCACCACCUGCCCUCGGGGUCUUGAUUUUCCUUCCACUGACAAGUAUAAGCAUGACAACUCCAAAGCUAUACACAUCCGCGCUAGCUUCUACGGGGCGAUCUUUAACUUCUGGCGCCGUGUAUAACCUACUAAAGGCUUCCAAUAGUGAGAAGUGCAACUGUGAAAGCCAAUGUAUACAAAGUUCUAACAAAUUUGAAAGCAAAAUCAGUUUUACUCCCUCUGUUUCAAUUUGUCUGUCUGGUUCUGACUUGACACGGAGUUUAAGAAAGUAAUGAAGACUUUUAUAUCUUGUGAUCUUAAACAUGUCACGUGGAAAGUUAGGAAAAAAGAGUUGUGAAGAACAGGCAAGAUGCACUCUUUUACUAAUAUAAUGUGUUGGGGUAUUUCUUUACAUUGUUCGUUCUGAUUUUUGCUUGUGAUAGAGCUUUGCAAAUCCAAAAUCAUAUAGCUUCGGAUUCAGAUCAUCAUCAAGAAUAAUGUUUGCUGGUUUAAUAUCCCCGUGUAUAAUUUCCUGUUUGGAUCCCUUGUGAAGAAAACAUAAACCUUCUGCUAGACCAACACAAAUUCUAUAUCUUGUGGCCCAAUCGAGUCUUCCAUUUUUUUCAUUGUCUGAACCUGUUAUGUAACCAAAGCUCAACUUAUCAUUAGUACAACUAUGAAGGCAUAGCAAAGAAAUCAUUCAUAAACGGAAGACCUUACCAAAUAAUGCAUCUUCAAGAGAUGUAGUUCCAAUGAACUCAUAGAUAAGCAGAAGUUGGUUCUUUCCUGCACAGCAUCCCAUUAGUGUCACGAGAUUUGGAUGUUUCAUGCCAGCAAUUGCACGACUCUUUUCCGCAAACUCCCACAUUCCUUCUUUUGUUGCCGAAAGCUUUUUAACUGCGAUGGCAGUCCCAUUCGAAAGAGUGCCCUGAACAUUGGUUAAGUGUUUCAGAUGAUGAAAUUGUCUAUUUGAAAACCAAAAUAAGUACUCCCUCUGUUUCAAUUUGUUUGAAGACUCACGAGAAUGAAGGGCAUUUCGGUACAUUCGAUAUAUCAUUGGUUCAAGACCACACGUGUCAAAAGUCUUUUCUAUUUUCUUAACGUUCGUGCCAAAUCAAUACCAGAAAAAACAAAUUGAAAUGGGGGGAGUAUAUAUCUAGGUCGGAGGUCACCCAGCAAGCAAAAGAAAAAAGGUUGUGCACAGAAGGGAGCGGCGUCCCGACAACACAAUACUAAUACUGCAACUAUUUUCAUGAGAGAGUAUCUUCUCCAAAAGAAAAUGAAGAAUACGAAGAUAGAAAAUGAACAAAAUUUAUUUAACUGAAGAUAUCUGUAAAAGAUAUAUCGAAAAACAUCGUAACCUAUAAUGAGUUAAGAUUCUAGCUAACCUUAUAGACAGUCCCAAAACCUCCCUCGCCAAUCCGGUUCGCAACAUGAAAAUUAUUUGUGGCAGCUUUAAUUUUCCGGUAGUUGUAAAGCCCUCCAGGGUACAAUUGAACGGGUUCUAGCUCUAUAUUUACACAUUAGUAAAUAUAUAUCAGAGGAACUUGAAACAUAAAUUAAGUAAAGAAGCUAACAACAAAUAAAAAAACCUAUGAUUCACAUGAUGGCCGGUGAUUAUAACCGAUAACUACAAAUCCCAAUGGAAACCAAAUAAAAUAUAUAAUAAGGUAGUGUCACCUCCCCGCCAUAUUUCUUUGAAUUUCCAGGAAAAACCUAUGAACAAUAUAUAUAUAUAUAUAUAUAUAUAUAUAUAUAAAAGCAGUGUUACCUUUGCGACCUAACAUUGAUAAUCGAUUUGUGUAUAUCUGUCGGAUCAAUAAUCUAUCUGUCCAUAUAUUCGGAUUGAUAAUCGAUCUGUCCAUGGAAAUCAUGUCUUCGGGUUAGCUUUCACAUACCUCGACUAAAUUCGGAAUACUUUGACACCUACAAAGAUAUAAGUUAACUAUAUCCACCAAGGUUCGGACAAAUGGGAAGAAUCACCUGGUGUUUUUUCGUCUUUAUUGGAACUUGAACAUAAAACUUCGAAUUCUCGACCCCUUCACUAGGCCACUGUACUCAUCUUACAGGUCUUUUUACAGCAAAAAGAUGAAAUUUUUCCACAAUCCAUUGCUAAUGGUCUUUGUUUAUUGAGAAAAAGAAAGAAAGUAACAUCCCUACUCUGCUGCUGCAGUCUUUUUUAAUUGAAUACUCUUUCAGUCAUUUAAUCAAACACCUUCCAUGCUAAUCACGAGUUGCUUUAAUUUUCACAUAACAAUAUGCCUUUUUUUGUUAGUGGAUUUGUGGUACUGAAUCUUUUCCUCACUUUUUCAUUUUUCCCCACUUCUGGGCCCUUACAGCAUAGCAUAGCAUAGCUUAUCUUAUACAAAAAAAGUUAAAAGAUCAAUCAUUUUCUUGUCACUUUCCUUCUUAAAAAAUUCUACUUUAUAAAGCUGAAACCUCCAAUAAUGCUUCACAGAGUCCUUGACACAUUUCUAUCUCAUAUACCUUAGGUAUAAUAUACUUCAUUGAAUCCACUACUUUCAAAGUGGAGCAUAAAUUCAUUGAAAUUGGAUCUUUAUUUAAAUUAUAUACCUUAAAUAUAGGCUUUUAAAACUAAUUAAAAUUUUACUUAAAAGUAAAUAUUUAGAAAAAAUAUUAAUUGGAAGCUUGGCACGUUAGUACAUAAGAAGUACUACUCUAAACAUUAGAUGAACUUUUUGAAUUAAUUUUGUAUGAAAAUUGCUAAGUAACAUCCAAUUGUAUUUUUAAUUGACAAAUUAUUUUUAAAAAAAAAAUUAAAUUUUAAAAAUUCUAUGUUUUAUAAUAUUUAAAAUUAAUAAAUUCUAAAUAUAUGGGAAGAGAUAAAAUAUAUGUAGAGUUCUAUGGUCUUGUUUUAUUAAAUUUUCUUUCAGUCAUUUCAUCAAACACCUUCCAUGCAAAUCAUGAGUUGCUUUAAUUUUCACAUAUAAUAUGCCUUUUUUGUUGGUGGAUUUGUGGUAGUGAACUGAUUCCCUGUAAAGGGUAUUGUGUCAAGUACUAUAUGAAGUUUCAGCUUUAUUAAAGUAGAAUUUUCAAGUAAGACGUAAUCAUGAAAUAUCUAACCUUUAUCUCGUGGACCAAAAGAAUCCGCUUUUGCAAUGUACAGGUAAUCAGCCCAAUACCACAAAGCCACUACAAAAGUAGCAUAGUCAAGUGAUUUGUGAUGAAAUGACAAAAAGAGAAUUCAAUUAAAAAAAGAUUCUAAUAUCGACCUGACACAUAAAUUUACGAAGGCGUUAUCCGAAACGGCCCUCUAAUAUAUGAGGUAAGAUGUAAUGUCUGCAUAUACCUACCCUCUUGCGAAAUUACUCUAAAUAUGUUAUUGUUGUUGAUAAUCAUGAUAUAUGAACCAGCUUAUUCGAACCUCGACUAAUUUCACUGAAUAACUUCCACCUCCAACCUGCAAUAGGUACUAAAUAACCCUAUCCACCAAAGCUAAGACAUAAUAUCAGGUUCAUCUGAACUCAAUAUUUUCGAUCGACGAAGCAUAAAUCUAUGUGCCCCCCCAAACUAAGCCAAAGUUGUUAAAACACACCUCCAACAUCACAGCGGUCCUAUUACCCUCGAAACUCAAAUUUAGCAUACUUUUGUUACUCUGUUGUGCUGAUGUAACAUCUUUAUUACAUAAAAAUAGACCCUACAUCAGAGAUGUCUCUUCAGCUAAAAAGGAUGAUAAAAGAGGCCACAUCAGCUAAAAAUGAUGACAAAAACACUCUAAAACUUAAUUCUGAGAGGUAAUAGAUUAUAGUUCAGGAGGGUGCUGGGUGCUUUAUUCUUAUCACUGUAGAAGUAAGAAACCUUAAUGAUUGAACUCAUAAAAUUGAGCAACAAGAUUCUAACUCAAAAAGCCAACACAACCAUGAAUUUUACAUAAACCUGUCAAGCCCCUUAAAUAUCAAGCACAGAGGCAUAUCUAGGAUUUGAAUUUUACGACUUCCGAAUUUACAAUAACUGGAUUCUAAAUUGAAAAUAUGUACAUAUUCAAUGACUCUCAUCACACAAAUAUACACGAUUUAGGACAAAUAUACGACUUGGUUCAUCUGAACAAGUAAGUCAACUCCUAGUUCCGCCCCCGGUCAAGCACACUGUUAAAGCAAAUAUGAUACUUCUUUACUUCUCUCUUAGAUAAGACAUAAUUUUGUAACCUUCUUCAUCGAGAUGGCGAAGUUGGUCACAAGCAGCCAAUAGGAGCAAAUCGUUUCCCACAUUUGAAUCUGCUACAUGGAGAACUUAAUCACCCUCUAGCUUGAUCAAAGUGGAGUUUAGUUUCUUUAAUUCCUCCACGAUUGUAGACAUGGUGUCUCUGGAUGACGGCGGUGAAUUUAUGCAUUUCAUUGCUAAUGUUAGAAUCACCGCUGCGUCGUGCCCGUCGUAAUUCAGAUUUUGAUCGAUGAGUUCCAUUAAAAUGCCUUUCUCAUUCAUUAUUUGUGCCUAUAGUAGUCGAUAAA
This 11754-nucleotide long non-coding RNA is filed under the name Capsicum annuum. RNAcentral describes it as "long non-coding RNA (CANN_LNC007488)". The record is from RNAcentral. Lineage: Eukaryota; Viridiplantae; Streptophyta; Magnoliopsida; Solanales; Solanaceae.